This is a non-coding RNA of Pocillopora verrucosa, 264 nucleotides long. The record is from RefSeq and is a predicted model, not a curated record. Lineage: Eukaryota; Metazoa; Cnidaria; Anthozoa; Scleractinia; Pocilloporidae.
AGAACUACCACCAAAAGUUUUUGAUGAAUUGACUCAGCUACAGAACUUGGGUGUAAACGACAACGAGCUCCAUACGUUGCAGGAGGGAAUAUUCGACAACCUGACCAACUUAACUGGACUGUAUAUCUUCAACAACAAACUUAGCAGCCUUCAUGCAGGAAUAUUCAAGACCUUGAAGUCCUUGGAAUUUUUGGAUCUGUCGAACAACGAAAUUAAAAAUCUACCCCAAGGACUUUUCCAAGGUUUAAAGAAGCUUGAAAAGCU